GCACGUAGGUGGUUAGAAAGUUGGUGGUGAAAUCCCAGAGCUUAACUCUGGAACUGCCAUCAAAACUUUUUGACUAGAGUAUGAUAGAGGUAAGCGGUAAUUCUAGUGUAGAGGUGAAAUUCGUAGAUAUUAGAAAGAACACCAAUUGCGAAGGCAGCUUUCUGGAUCAUUACUGACACUGAGGUGCGAAAGCAUGGGUAGCGAAGAGGAUUAGAUACCCUCGUAGUCCAUGCUGUAAACGAUGUGUGCUAGAUGUUGGGAAUUUUAUUCUCAGUGUCGCAGCAAAAGCGUUAAGCACACCGCCUGGGGAGUACGACCGCAAGGUUAAAACUCAAAUGAAUUGACGGGGACCCGCACAAGCAGUGGAGCAUGUGGUUUAAUUCGAAGAUACGCGCAGAACCUUACCAACACUUGACAUGUUCGUCGCGACUCGUAGAGAUAUGAGUCUUCAUUCAGUUGGACGAAACACAGGUGCUGCAUGGCU
RNAcentral lists this ribosomal RNA (484 nucleotides) under uncultured Pseudomonadota bacterium. Its description in RNAcentral is "bacterial SSU rRNA". It matches the Rfam family "Bacterial small subunit ribosomal RNA", at positions 567 to 1050 of the family's 1533-position model. The record is from RNAcentral. Lineage: Bacteria; Pseudomonadati; Pseudomonadota.